UGGAGUUGAUGAACUGUCUGAGCCUGACCUUGUAGAGUGGAGGCAAAAAAAAAAAACUGAUUUAAUGAGCCUGAUCC
Small nucleolar RNA from Saimiri boliviensis boliviensis (Bolivian squirrel monkey), 77 nucleotides. Lineage: Eukaryota; Metazoa; Chordata; Mammalia; Primates; Cebidae. The record is from RefSeq and is a predicted model, not a curated record.